RNAcentral lists this ribosomal RNA (239 nucleotides) under uncultured bacterium. RNAcentral describes it as "partial 16S ribosomal RNA". It matches the Rfam family "Bacterial small subunit ribosomal RNA", at positions 118 to 353 of the family's 1533-position model. The record is from RNAcentral.
UGGGUAACCUGCCCUGUACAGGGGGAUAACAGGUCAGAAAUGACUGCUAAUACCGCAUAAGACCACAGCACCGCGAUGGUGCAGGGGUAAAAACUCCGGUGGUACAGGAUGGACCCGCGUCUGAUUAGCUGGUUGGUGAGGUAACGGCUCACCAAGGCGACGAUCAGUAGCCGGCUUGAGAGAGUGAACGGCCACAUUGGGACUGAGACACGGCCCAAACUCCUACGGGAGGCAGCAUG